GACGAACGUUGGCGGCGUGCUUAAUACAUGCAAGUCAACUGAAGCAGUGGUAGCAAUUUCGCUGUGGCGGUGGCGCACGGGUGAGUAACACGUAGGUAAUCUGCCUUCAGGUCUGGCAUAACUCCGUGAAACCGGGGCUAAUAGCAGAUGAUGCAGCGGCUCGACAUCGAGACAGUUGUUAAAGCUAUGGCGCCUGAAGAUGAGCCUGCGUCUGAUUAGCUAGUUGGCGGGGUAACGGCCCACCAAGGCAACGAUCAGUAGCUGGUCUGAGAGGAUGAUCAGCCACACUGGAACGGAGACACGGUCCAGACUACUACGGGAGGCAGCAGUAAGGAAUAUUGCUCAAUGGGAGAAAUCCUGAAGCAGCAACGCCGCGUGAGGGACGAAGGGCUUUAGCUUGUAAACCUCUGUAGGGAGAGAAAAAAAUCCCAAUCUUUGGGACAUGAUGGUAUCUCAAAAGUAAGCCCCGGCUAACUACGUG
Molecule: ribosomal RNA, 481 nt
Filed under: uncultured bacterium
Lineage: Bacteria
Description: partial 16S ribosomal RNA
Rfam family: Bacterial small subunit ribosomal RNA
Source: RNAcentral